Long non-coding RNA from Pseudoliparis swirei, 410 nucleotides. RefSeq lists it as uncharacterized. The record is from RefSeq and is a predicted model, not a curated record. NCBI's taxonomy places the organism in Eukaryota, Metazoa, Chordata, Actinopteri, Perciformes, Liparidae. The transcript has 3 exons.
AAGAAGGCCUUGGCUUCGAAUCCCGGUCGUCCCGGUCGUUCCAGGUCCUUUCUGUGUGGAGUUUGCAUGUUCUCCUCGUGUCUGCGUGGGUUUACUCCGGGUACUCCGGUUUCCCCCACCAUCAUAAAGACAUGCACCGCAGCCUCACCCCGUGAGGAGGAUCGGCCACAUAAGACUGACUGAAGGGAGCUGUUAUGCAACACCCAUUGCAGCAAGAUGGCAGUCGCUGUGGGUUGGUGAACUCCACGGAUUCUCAUUUUUUAAAGCAUCACAUUGGGACUAACAGUAGAAUGACUGUGCUGAGGACGUGACCAAAUGAUUGGUUGGAAUUUAGAUUUUUUUCAAUAUCUCUGCACCAGAUUCCAGUCAAAUAAAAAAUGGCGUGUGUGUGUUUACAUGCAUACAAUUUG